AUUGAACGCUGGCGGCAGGCCUAACACAUGCAAGUCGAACGGUAGCACAGAGAGCUUGCUCUCGGGUGACGAGUGGCGGACGGGUGAGUAAUGUCUGGGAAACUGCCCGAUGGAGGGGGAUAACUACUGGAAACGGUAGCUAAUACCGCAUAAUGUCGCAAGACCAAAGAGGGGGACCUUCGGGCCUCUUGCCAUCGGAUGUGCCCAGAUGGGAUUAGCUAGUUGGUGAGGUAAUGGCUCACCAAGGCGACGAUCCCUAGCUGGUCUGAGAGGAUGACCAGCCACGCUGGAACUGAGACACGGUCCAGACUCCUACGGGAGGCAGCAGUGGGGAAUAUUGCACAAUGGGCGCAAGCCUGAUGCAGCCAUGCCGCGUGUAUGAAGAAGGCCUUCGGGUUGUAAAGUACUUUCAGCGGGGAGGAAGGGGAUGCGGUUAAUAACCGUGUUGAUUGACGUUACCCGAAGAAGAAGCACCGGCUAACUACGUG
This 488-nucleotide ribosomal RNA is filed under the name uncultured bacterium. RNAcentral describes it as "partial 16S ribosomal RNA". It matches the Rfam family "Bacterial small subunit ribosomal RNA", at positions 30 to 507 of the family's 1533-position model. The record is from RNAcentral.